Molecule: ribosomal RNA, 253 nt
Filed under: uncultured bacterium
Lineage: Bacteria
Description: partial 16S ribosomal RNA
Rfam family: Bacterial small subunit ribosomal RNA
Source: RNAcentral
UACGGGGGGGGCAAGCGUUGUUCGGAAUUACUGGGCGUAAAGGGCUCGUAGGCGGCCAACUAAGUCAGACGUGAAAUCCCCAGGCUCAACCUGGGAACUGCGUCUGAUACUGGAUGGCUUGAAUCCGGGAGAGGGAUGCAGAAUUCCAGGUGUAGCGGUGAAAUGCGUAGAUAUCUGGAGGAAUACCGGUGGCGAAGGCGGCAUCCUGGACCGGCAUUGACGCUGAGGUGCGAAAGCGUGGGGAGCAAACAGG